UACGGGGGGGGUAAGCGUUGUUCGGAAUUACUGGGAGUAAAGGGCUCGUAGGCGGCCAACUAAGUCGGACGUGAAAUCCCUCAGCUUAACUGGGGAACUGCGUCCGAUACUGGAUGGCUUGGAUUUGGGAGAGGGAUGCGGAAUUCCAGGAGUAGCGGUGAAAUGCGUAGAUAUCUGGAGGAACACCGGUGGCGAAGGCGGCAUCCUGGACCAAUAUUGACGCUGAGGAGCGAAAGCCAGGGGAGCAAACGGG
This 253-nucleotide ribosomal RNA is filed under the name uncultured bacterium. Its description in RNAcentral is "partial 16S ribosomal RNA". It matches the Rfam family "Bacterial small subunit ribosomal RNA", at positions 524 to 776 of the family's 1533-position model. The record is from RNAcentral.